Molecule: long non-coding RNA, 403 nt
Organism: Nerophis ophidion (straightnose pipefish)
Lineage: Eukaryota; Metazoa; Chordata; Actinopteri; Syngnathiformes; Syngnathidae
Exons: 2
Source: RefSeq, a predicted model, not a curated record
UGUUUCUCUCGCGACAUCUGGAAGAGAGAGCUGCCUACUUGUUUCUCUCGCGAGAUCUGACAACACUGCGCGCGAACCAAACACGGCGAGGAUGAAGCCAGAUGGCGUCUGACGGUGAAGACGUUGUUGCAAUCGUCACAACAUCUAUCAGCUGAUUGACCACCAAGAAGAAUGUCUUCCUCAUCUACAGGGGGACAGUUUAACUUUUUGAAUAUCCACAGCCCUUAUAUUUUAAAAGAGACAAGGAGGAUCCACAGUCCCCCUAUUUUAAAGAGGAAGAGGAGGGAGAGUGUCCUGUAGGGCAGGAGGAGGCUGAUCUCAGCAAGUUUCCACUGACUGUUGUCUCUGUGAAGACUGAAGUGCAUGAAGCAUGUAUGCACUGAUUAAAAAUACAGAACUAGAA